Molecule: long non-coding RNA, 2490 nt
Organism: Mytilus californianus (California mussel)
Lineage: Eukaryota; Metazoa; Mollusca; Bivalvia; Mytilida; Mytilidae
Exons: 4
Source: RefSeq, a predicted model, not a curated record
UACUCAUAGAUACUUGUAAAGAUGAAUUAUCGACUUCAUACCUACAAUAUCUCUUUUUUCGUUUAUAACAUUUAUUAAUAAUAUUGAUUAUAUCUAGCACGACGGAUGCCCUCUAGUGGAGCAAGAAUUGCUUACCCUUCCGGGCGCACAUGGCGUUCAUUUCCUGUUUUUGUUUGAGUUCGUGUUGAUCUAUUCGUAUGAAUUAAUAGAAUCGAGCGGGUUGUCAAAUGGAUCAGAAAUGAUCAAGACAAAUGACUAAAAGAUGUCAAACUACAGACUACAAAAAUAGACAGGCGUCUUUACAUUAUAUCUAGCUCAAAGUCGCCAUACUUAAAAAAAAGUCUGAAGGAAAACAAGGACUUUAUAAAAGAUUCACCAUCAACAUUAAAUUUUCGAAAUAAAAAUUACUUUUCUGUGUAAUGUGCUAUGGAAACAUCUGUGAUCAUCUGUCAUUUCUUCUUACUUUCUUAUAGCCAUAGUAUUAUUUCGGUUUUGUUGUUGUUGGGAACUUGGUAUUUUCUUACUUUUAAAUAAUCAUCAAUCAUUUAAUUACUUGUCCAGCAAUACGAAAUUGUAUUUUUUAAACUUUGAAAUACACAAAGGAAACUGUGAUACUGUGAAUUUUGAUUUAUAUUUUUAAAUGUCCGUAUUGCCACGGUGAAAUUAGUUAUCGGGAAGUGUUUGCCCUAACCCUAACUUAGAACAUAGAAAAUUUAUUAUGGUCAAUGAACUUAGUCGAACAAUGAGUCUGUUUUUUUUUUUACUUUUCCCUUUAGAAAUAAUAAAAGUUUAAAAUGUUCGAACAUGACGCAAUUAAUAUACCAACCAUUGAAUUCCAAAUCAUUUGUUUGUAUUAUUUGAAAUUCCAAAUCAUCGAAACAUACACACUAUUUGUUUGUACAGGAAAUUCUUCCUUAUUGCGAAUCUAUAAUAUAUUUGAUUCGUUAAUGUAAACUCUACCUGACAGUGUUAAGUUAAGCACUUCCUGAGUAUUCUCUAAGCGCUGAUAUAUUUUGAGUGUUAACAAUUUAUGUCUUGUCGCUCAAAAUGAUAUAAUGGACAGCAGGGUUGUAUCAGGCAUUUAACAACAAAACAUUUAUCAUGGCAGAAUGAUUUUAACAAACUUGUUAUUUUGGGAAAUGAUAUGAAAUAAGAAUUGUGCGUCUCGGUACAAGUUUCAUAAAUUAAGCAUUGCAAGAAAUUAUUUUGGUCACAAGAAGAUAGCUCCAUAUCUUACAUGGUCUGAAAAUAACUGAAUUAUUCUAUUAUGGUUUUGGAUCGUGUUGCAAGCUUUUAGGUACAUUUUUUUUAAGGUAAAAAAAAGACUUCAAUGCUUAAAGUAAAAACAAAAAAAAUGUUUUAUUUCAGCAGAGCGUGUAAUGCAGUAAGUAAAACAAUCCUAUGUUCAGUUACCAACUAAUAUUGGUCGAUAACAAUCAGAAUCGCAGAAAUUCCAUAUGGAGCGAGACUAGGUAGGUCAACAGACGGAAUGAUUCCACAUGGCGUUGGAUCAGGUGGGUUUAACAAUCGUAAAGAUUCCAUAUGGACCAAGACUAGGUAGGUCAACAGACGGAAUGAUUCCACAUGGCGUUGGAUCAGGUGGGUUUAACAAUCGUAAAGAUUCCAUAUGGAGCGAGACUAGGUAGGUCAACAGACGGAAUGAUUCCACAUGGCGUUGGAUCAGGUGGGUUUAACAAUCGUAAAGAUUCCAUAUGGAGCGAGACUAGGUAGGUCAACAGACGGAAUGAUUCCACAUGGCGUUGGAUCAGGUGGGUUUAACAAUCGUAAAGAUUCCAUAUGGAGCGAGACUAGGUAGGUCAACAGACGGAAUGAUUCCACAUGGCGUUGGAUCAGGUGGGAUUAACAAUCGUAAAGAUUCCAUAUGGAGCGAGACUAGGUAGGUCAACCGACGGAAUGAUUCCACAUGGCGUUGGAUCAGGUGGGAUUAACAAUCGUAAAGAUUCCAUAUGGAGCGAGACUAGGUAGGUCAACAGACGGAAUGAUUCCACAUGGCGUUGGAUCAGGUGGGAUUAACAAUUGUGAAGAUUCCAUAUGGAGCGAGACUAGGUAGGUCAACAGACGGAAUGAUUCCACAUGGCGUUGGAUCAGGUGUGAUUAACAAUCGUAAAGAUUCCGUAUGGAGAGAGACUAGGUAGGUCAACAGACGUAAUGAUUCCACAUGGCGUUGGAUCAGGUGGGUUUAACAAUUGUAAAGAUUCCAUAUGGAGCGAGACUAGGUUGGUCAACAGACGGAAUGAUGAUUCCACAUGGCGUUGGAUCAAGUGGGUUUAACAAUCGUAAAGAUUCCAUAUGGAGCGAGACUAGGUAGGUCAACAGACGGAAUGAUUCCACAUGGCGUUGGAUCAGGUGGGUUUAACAAUCGUGAAGGUUCCAUAUGGAGCGAGACUAGGUAGGUCAACAGACGGAAUGAUUCCACAUGGCGUUGAAUCAGGUAGGUUUAACAAUCGUAAAGAUUCCAUAUGGAGCGAG